GUAUCUGGUUCACCUUCACUACCUGCACAAAAACACUCAAUUACAGUUUGCUUGAAGCCAUAAAGCUUACGAUCAAGAGUCCAUGGUGAUAAGAUGACUGAAGUUAAACAGUAGAUACAAGAUUAAUUAAGGAAAUGCAACGACAGAAUAUAGUCAAUAUAUCAUUUAGAGAGGCAGACAUGAAAACCAAAUGAAGCUGCAGCUUAUCAAAGAGAAUCUCAAACACACACUUAUCUUAGGCUGCACAUCAUUCUCAUAUAGUGACGGUGAGCCUCAGUGACAUCCAUAAUCACCUACAGUCUAGGCAUUCACAUGCAGAAAUAGCAUUAUUGGAAAAACAAGUGCCUGAAGGCUACAAUAUAUUGCCUUCACAAUAACCUAGAGGUCAUGGAUUCAAAUUACAGGAACAGCCUCCUUCAAAGUACAAGAGGAGGAACCGGAUUCCA
This 446-nucleotide unclassified non-coding RNA is filed under the name Hevea brasiliensis (rubber tree). The record is from RNAcentral. Lineage: Eukaryota; Viridiplantae; Streptophyta; Magnoliopsida; Malpighiales; Euphorbiaceae.